Molecule: non-coding RNA, 110 nt
Organism: Chelonoidis abingdonii (Abingdon island giant tortoise)
Lineage: Eukaryota; Metazoa; Chordata; Testudines; Testudinidae
Source: RefSeq, a predicted model, not a curated record
AGUAUUUAACAAGUCUAAUAAGAAGCUUAGAGAUUAAUGGAAGGAUGACAUGGGAUGAGGAUAUGGAGGUAGAUAUUACCACAUCUGAGGUAGAAACCAAACUUGAACAU